GGAAUACUAUCUCUAAACUUGCAUCUUCAUUAUGAGAUCUAUUUCAGUGCUAUUGUUACUCCUGGGAAGAUCGUAGAUCCGUUUAUUUUGUGUGAGAGUGAUACUGAUGGUGAGAUGAUACUAGUCUUCCCUACACACCUCCCUGAUUUAUUGUGUAUUUGAGAAUAUCUCACUGCUUGCUGAUGAAAUUUGAGAAUAAUUUGCAUCCAUGUUAAACAAUAUGAAUCUUUGUCCACCCUUUCAGUUAAUUUAUUUUCUGAAACACAGGUAGUUUCCAGAAACAGAGUAAUAGUGAGAGGGUGGACUUUGAGAAUACUAAUUGUUAGAAGUUCUGUUUUUCAGAAAGGGUCUAGUUUGCUAAUAACUGUGACUGAGUUUCAUGAAGAAUAGAUUCAAAUGUUGGUUGAUUUACCUGAACAUGUCUUGGAAAAAAAAAAAAGGGGUGUAAUGUUUGAGCACUGGAGGAGCAAGAGAAGUAACUUUAUAGUUAGAGACGUUAGUUCCAUACAGAAGCAGCAGUAUGUGUUCUCAGUCACUGUGGAAAUUAUUCCUUUGUUUUCAGUUAUCAUAUCCUUGGCAUGGUAAAGCCUCUUCAGCCCCUACAAGGUCAUUUGAUUUGAUUGUCAGGCCUAGCACACUACAAAGGCAUUUGAUUUGAUUAUCAGACCUGUGUAGGUGCCUCUUUGAAAAUUUAAAUAUACUGUGAAUAGAAUAGAAACAUGUUUAUCCCACUUUCCCACUUAAUUUGUAUACUGUCCAGUGAAACACAGAACUGAAAAACCAAUGCAGUAAGCCUCCAUGUUCUUUUGUUCUAUUAAUACCACUGUGGUUGAAUAUCUUGAAAUUUUUGACCAUGCCAACAUGCCUGAUAUAAAUAGCUGUGCAAAUAGAGCUCAGCUGAGAUUACCAAACUUGGUGUUUUGCAUUUUUGAUCCAACUUGAAUGGGGAUGUCUGAAAGCAAGAUAGAAAUUAUCCCCUGUGGCACUAAUCUGGCAUGACAACUGAGAAAUUAAAGACCUUGUUUUCAGGAUUUUCUGCCUGACUGCCAUAUCACCAGUAGGCCUUUGCCUAAAGAUCCUGAUCUCAUGCUAGGACAGUGUCUGCUGUUCCUUCCUACAGAAAGAGCAUGAAAUAAGUGGAUGGAACACGGAAGUUCAGAUAUACUUCAUCUUAGUUCUUAGCUCAUUAUCUUUUCUACUUCCUUAUCAAAACAGCCUCCCUCUUCUAUUAUUCCUUUUUCCUUCAGGCAGCCCCCUUAACCUGAAUGUUUCCUCAAACAGGGCCCUUUGUAGACUGUCAAAGCUGAACUGUAAAAUGUUUUUAAAAAGUCUAUUUCAAAGUGUGAACCAGUUAUCUGACUUAGGAAGAGGAUUUUUUGCUGGGAAGCAUUGGAUGUUAAUGUCGGAGUUAAUAGCUCUACCUUUAGGAGCCUUGCAAUAUCUUCAAGAAAUUUCUAUGCAGGUAGGAUGUGUACAUGUAGUAAAGGAAGCUAGAGGUGUGGAAUUCACAGAAGGUAAUUUAAUUUCAGUAGAGUGGGUAGGCCUGUAGAUAGGAGAUGGAAGACUGCAAGAGUUGUAGCAAGUGCAUUUCUUAAAAUAGAGAUAUUCUCAGGAUUUAUCUUAUAGUAAAUGAAAAUAAAGACUAUAGCCCAUAUCUCCUGUCUACCAUCAAAAUAUUAGAAGCGUAAUUUGAGAACAAGUCUUAAGGAGUUUUCAUUUAUGUAAUAUAUGGUUGGGAUUAAUGAGUUAUAGUCAAAUUAUUAUGCGGGAGAGAGAAAGGAAGAAGCAGUACUUAACUUGUAGUCAGUUUACUGCUAGGGGUAACACGCAAGCUGUUGGAAAAAACAACAACAAAAGCCAACAAAAACAACACCACUACCAACAAAACCACCUCUUGGGAGUUGUUGGAAUAGUUAUGUAGGUGAAAGUUCUUGACAGAAUGCUGGUGUUCUCUGAGUCUGACAGUAUUGUGUUAUAUGAAAAUAAAUCAUCCGUUUUUCCAGGACUUUCAAAGAUGUUAACACUCUGCAUCAGCUCUGUAUCUGUACAGAGACAUUACCUACCCAGACCAGAUCAAAGUUGGAAUAUAUACAUCUUGGAAUUUUUUUGUUGUUGUUUUCCUCACUCAAGGUGUUUUAAAUGUCAUUUUUUAAUGUGUACAAGAGCACAACUUCGUUGAAUGUUUUGGUUUUUUAGUGCUUUUGUGUACCUAGUCUAUACUAUUUUUUCCUUUUCCUCCCCUACAAUACAGGUGUGAAGAUCUAACUCAGCUCAACUAAUGACCCGUGAGUGCCACAUGUUGUCUCUGCAUAUGAUUUUUUAAAAAGAAUAGAAAAUGUAUACUACUUUUCUGUUAACUUUCAGAAAGGUUCUCUUCCCAGCAAAUGGAUAACUGUUUUCCUUUUUAAUCCAGCCAUCAUUUGGAAAUCUAGGUUGCGCUUCACAAGUGAAGUACAAACAGAGGGUCUAAAAAGGUGUCAGCUCUCUGUGGUUGGUGGAUCCUUCUGUACUUUUAUUCCUGUUAUGACCUUGUGAGAACAAAUAUGUACAUAUAUCUUCAUAUUAGGGCAGCUGUGGUACAGAAAGUACGAAAAAGCUGCUCUGAAUGGUGAAGGCUUAUUUAGCAAACUGGUCUUUAGAGGUACAUCAGUAAAAUGUACCUUGAUCAAUGACAAUAGUAACAGUACACAUUUUUCUACUGCUGUCUUAAUCUUGUCUGUGCUCAGCUGAUUUUAUUUCCGGAAAUCAUUAAUUGUGAGACCUCAUGCUUUGCUAAAUACGUUACAAGGUUCUCUCCAUUUAAUCAGGCAUUUAUAAUUAUUAUGAUGAUAAUUAUAAUGAAUGGCUUUUCAGUAGCUGUCUGCUGCUGUAUUUUGGGCUUUCAUACACCUUUUGUAAUUAAAUAGAUUGCUUUCUUUAGAAUACUGUUAUAUAGCAAUUAUAUUGCUUCUCUAAGGCCUACAAGAUGAGAGUUGAUUAUCAAUACCUGAUCAAACAAUUUUUUUCAUGGCCAAGUGUUUGCAGGCCAGUCUCAUUAAUCAAGAAGUUUGCUGCUUAUGAAAACACGGCCAUCUUUACACACCUUAUUUAGGAAAUUAAUGUAAGCGUUUAGUUUUACUAUUUUAAUUUUCUUCCAGAUGCUGUUCCUCAAAUUGCAGGGCAGCUGAAGGAAUAAGAGCCUUAAUUCAGUGUUACAAUACUGUCUAUUCAAAUAAGUUGAGAAGCACUGAAGCAAGAAAACUUAAAACUUAAUAUGAUGUAAAAGUGUACUACAAACUUACUUGAACAGCAUCUUGUUCUUCAGAUAAAUAUUAGGCAAAGAAUCUAUAAAACUGGAGGCAGCAGUCAGCUAAGGCUAACAAGAUUUUAGGCUUGCGGCGACAGGAUCAGCAGCAUUUCAUGCCAUUUUAGGCAUUACUACAUGCUUUGCUUCAACCUUUUGUCAGUUCCUUCCACAACAGAAUCCUGCUGCUGUAUCCAAAUCCCUGGUUAUUCCAUGAGAAGUGUUUGACAUGGAUUUUGUUGAAGAUUUUGAUGUACACUUUCAGGAUUAUUUAUUCCAAAAGGUUUUAUAGUGCCGUGCAGAAGAUGAACAUUUCAAGUUCUUGAACUUUAAAAUAUUUGUACUUCCUCAGAAGUCUCCAGUCACUGACACAGUUUUUAAUACUUAGUGAACAGAAUGAAACAGGCUGCAUGUCUUUCAAGCUCCAAGUACAGUGGAGGAGGAAAUAAAUAGUGAAGGGAGUUUUUGUGGUAGUGUUUUACUCUCAGUUCUUGAUUAGUGUAUGUCUGCUGUCAUAGUUGCUGCCUAGGAGCUGGAAUGAGCACCUCUUAGAAGCAGUUCCAGUGUCUGAUCCAGCUGCUACUGAAGUCCAUCGCAAAAUUGCUACUUAUCUCAAACACAACCUUGAUCAGUCCUAACGCAAUAAUCUGGAAGGAAAACUCAGUGUUCCAGAUACAUCAAAAACACUUGAGGAUUAACAGGAUGUGCUUUUAAUCCUCCUUCAGUAGCUCAUUGAAAUAGAUGGCUGGGACUAUGACUGUAAUUUUUACUUUCAUUCUGGAACACUUGCCUGACAGAAAAUCCCCUGUCAGGCCAAGAACAUAUAAGAUUUUCAACUGUGGGUCCAGUAUGAUUGAUUGUAACCAUCCAUCUCAGAGACAUUUGACGGAGAUUACUGAAUAAAACCAACAGUGUGGGUAUUGAUUCUGUAUUGCAGUCUGAAUGAUUGAAGGUGUAAAUGUGCCCUGAUUCAGCAGAUGAGGAUUGGCAAAUGCAGGCAGGUAACAUUUUGCUCCAAAAACAUUUUUGUGAUUCCAAAUCUCUUGUGAUUUUAAAACAAAUACUGUUGAAUGAGAUUUUGAGCUUCAUAGUCCUUGAUGCUUACAUGAAAAGUAUUUUAUUCUUCCUAGAUGCUGCUGGAGCUUCAUUUGGUGUUUUUUUUAAAAAGGGCUCCUCUUUGCUAAAUUUCCUCUUAAGUAUAUGUAGGUUGCUCUGAAAGUAAUGCCUCCUCUUUAUUUCCAUGAAAACUGCUACAGCUACAAAGAGCACUGUGACACUGUUUGAUAGAGAAAAUUCUCAGCUACAGAACGUUUUUUUAACAUACUUUUGGAGCAGUCCUUGUGUAUUUCAUAUUCUGUAAUUCUGCAGAUAUCAAUAAAAUCAUAGUACUAUCAUAUUUUUCAUGCUAUUUAUGCCUGCAGGGUGCUGAGCAAUGGCAAGGCACUAACUUCCAUUACAGCUAUUGCUAAUUAAUCUGAAUAAAUUUGAGAAGCAUGCUAUAGUUUAAAUCCAGAAAGCUCAGCAUGAAAUAUACAAAGUGUCUUGCUUUUAUAGCUCAAAUGAUGUCUGUAAUGAUUUGAAGUUCUUAGCAACAUGUAAAACAUUUUAUCAUUUUAUCUUUUCAUCUAUUAGUAAAAUAUGCCCUACUUAUAAGAAGAGUCUUAGAACUUUCAUUCUCCCAUGGUACUUUUAAUGGCUAUAUACUUCCUUGGAAAUAGAUAGAUCACUACUCAUUUCUUACUGCUGCUACUUCAAUUUUUGCCACUAGAGUUUUUAUUCAGCUUCCAGACUCUUUACCAUUCUUCUUUUCUACCCUUGCUCAUUUGCUGAGUAGAGUGGGAGUCAGACGUUAUCCUGAUAGCUUCUGUUGGAAAUGCUGCCAGUUGUGAAAUGGAUACACUUUUCACUCAUUGUUUGUGCGAAUUUUUCUAAUCCAUCCACCGACUGCACAUCCUGGCCUUUAUUAGCUGCUAUUUUCCUUCUUGAAGCACCAAGGUAAAGGAUGGUAAAAGGAUUUCCUGUCUCUGGGCUACAGCUUGGUUUCACAAUUCAAGUGCAGAUCUACAAACAAUAAGAAACAACACCCUUCUGUGCGAGGCAAUUGUAAGGCAGCCAUGGCAGUUCAAAUGCUGGGGAGAACUGUUCUAUGGUACAAGAAGGAGCAGCAUUCUGGCAGCUCUUGCUGAAGCACUGGGAAAGUGACCUUAUAAACAGAGCUGGUAUCCUCCUCUCUGUUCACUGCCUGAGGAGUUGGAGGUGCUGAAAAACAAAGGAGGCAAACUAUCCUGUCAGUAAUCUGCUUUGCUGGACCCUGGAAACAUUCCUCUUCCAGUGCAUUGAUCAGGGAGUACAUCAGAAGCUUUCAAAAGUAAUAAAGACUCUAAGGAGACAAGAACAUGAAAAACCAAGCAAACUAUAAUUCUCCAAGACCUAAAAAAGAAGACUCAUAGCUCCUCCUUCAUGUUACUAAUUUCAUACAGCAUAAUGAAAAAAAGAGACUAACAGCUUUGAGCCUUGCCAAGAUGGAUGGUUCAGAUAGUGGUAAUUUCUUAGUUUAGGGGGAGAAGUGUAAAUUUUUAGGCUUGGCCACUGCCAUGUUCCAUCCACGCUGCAGUUUGGAAUGAGCUCACAAUGUUCAGCUGACAACAGAAGAAAAAGUAACAGAAUGUCUCAGAAAAUGGCUAUUCAUGUCCAAAUACAAAAUGCAACUUUUUGGAAGGACUUUCCUAUAAUUAAACAGGAGCUUAAUUUUGGGCUGGCUUUUGUAUUUGCUCAAAAUUGAAGCUUUUCCUCUUUUAUGAGAUCUUCACUGUCAUUGUAUUUUUACGUGAACACUUGUUUGUACAAGUGAUAUGUACUGAGUACAGGACAUAUACUUAACAACAGACAUGCAGUUUAUAUUGUAUUUUGUAGGUUCAGGAUGAGCACUACUAAGGAAAAAUGCAGCAUGUUAUUGAACUCUGGGGAGAUCAUGAUAGGCAUACAAAUAUGUGCUCUUAUAAUUAUGCUUCCUUAACCUCUGUCAAUUUGCAAUGGACAUUUUAAAUUCAAUGUGGAAUCAAGUUUACUCAUUUGUUCAUGUUUUCUUGUCACAGCUGGAAUCUCCACUGGCAUUGAUUUUACACUGCUUCUAUUUCAUUCACUUCAGUGGUAUUCAUAAGAUAGAAGAUGAUGCAAUCGUUUUAGUUUUACACCACACGGAAUAACAUGCCUUCAGACAAGACUGGUAUCUGGCUAAUGGCGACUUCAAAGUCUUACAUGCUGUAACAAACAACGUCAG
RNAcentral lists this long non-coding RNA (6563 nucleotides) under Gallus gallus (chicken). Its description in RNAcentral is "lncRNA (ENSGALG00010010469.1)". The record is from RNAcentral. Lineage: Eukaryota; Metazoa; Chordata; Aves; Galliformes; Phasianidae.